GCACAGUGGAUGUUUAGAGAUUAUCUUUGUCCCCUCUCUCUGUUUAGAUCCGGAGGCGCCGGCCAACUCCAGCUACCCUGGUUCUGAGCAGCGACCAGUCGUCCCCAGAAAUCGACGAGGACCGGCUCCCCAACCCAUUGCUGAAGCCGGGUCUGUCCAUGUCACCCAGACAAAGGAAGAAGGUCCCCCGCACGACCCCCGCCAUGAAAG
Mauremys mutica (yellowpond turtle) is the source of this 210-nucleotide long non-coding RNA. RefSeq lists it as uncharacterized. The record is from RefSeq and is a predicted model, not a curated record. The transcript has 3 exons. NCBI's taxonomy places the organism in Eukaryota, Metazoa, Chordata, Testudines, Geoemydidae.